This 96-nucleotide small RNA is filed under the name Teredinibacter turnerae T7901. RNAcentral's name for it is "t44 RNA". It matches the Rfam family "t44 RNA". From Rfam's summary of the family: This family consists of a number of bacterial RNA genes of between 135 and 170 bases in length. The t44 gene is found between the map and rpsB genes in all species in the full alignment apart from Shigella flexneri. The function of this RNA is unknown. The record is from Rfam by way of RNAcentral. Lineage: Bacteria; Pseudomonadati; Pseudomonadota; Gammaproteobacteria; Cellvibrionales; Cellvibrionaceae.
CUGUAAUUUAUUUAAAGUCGCACAUAUACCGUCACAUCUGCCUGGGUGCCGUGCCUUUGGGCUUCGGUUGGCUGGUGGGGUAUAUGGAGGCCUAAC